RNAcentral lists this transfer RNA (73 nucleotides) under Clostridia bacterium. RNAcentral's name for it is "tRNA-Ile". It matches the Rfam family "tRNA". Rfam says of the family: Transfer RNA (tRNA) molecules are approximately 80 nucleotides in length. Their secondary structure includes four short double-helical elements and three loops (D, anti-codon, and T loops). Lineage: Bacteria; Bacillati; Bacillota; Clostridia. The record is from RNAcentral.
UCUCGUUUAGCUCAGCAGGAAGAGCGCACGUCUGAUACGCGUGAGGUCACUGGUUCAAAUCCAGUAGCGAGAA